RNAcentral lists this transfer RNA (68 nucleotides) under Trichonephila inaurata madagascariensis. RNAcentral describes it as "tRNA-Thr". Lineage: Eukaryota; Metazoa; Arthropoda; Arachnida; Araneae; Nephilidae. The record is from RNAcentral.
GCCAGUAUGGAGGAUAUGACCCUCGGCUUGUAACCGAGUGGGUUCGGGUUCGAAUCCCGAGUAAGGCA